Molecule: non-coding RNA, 1464 nt
Organism: Danio rerio (zebrafish)
Lineage: Eukaryota; Metazoa; Chordata; Actinopteri; Cypriniformes; Danionidae
Source: Ensembl
CUGAACGAUGGCCAACGGCACUGGGAAUGGACGAAUGGAAAAGCAAACCGAUCACAGUAUCGCCUGUGCCACGGAAAAUGACGACAACCAACCGCAGAAAGAAGGCAUCCCUUUGUCCAGGAAACUGUGCUAUGCCAUUGGAGGAAUGCCUUAUCAAAUGACUGCAAACGCCAAGGGCUUUUUCAUGCAGAUCUUUUUACUGGAUGUUGUGAAAAUGGGAGCAUUUUAUGCAUCCCUCAUUCUCUUCCUCGGUCGAGCCUGGGAUGCUGUUACAGAUCCUCUUAUUGGAUAUGCUGUGAGCAAAAGUGGCCGGACCAGAAUUGGCAAACUCAUUCCUUGGUUAGUGUACUGGGAUUGUGUUCACCAUGCCGCUCGGGAUCCUGUCAUACAUCAUGCUCUGGUAUACCCCACAGGACACCAUGUCCCCUGCCUUCAGUUUCAGCUGGUACUUCAUAUGGUGUUGUUUGUUUGACACCUUUAUGAGUUGCUACCAUGUGCCAUAUUCCUCCCUAAACAUGUUUCUUGGGGGAAAUCAGAAGGAUCGAGACUCAGCUACUGGAUACAGAAUGGGCAUGGAAGUGUUCGCCACACUGGCAGGAGCCACCAUUCAGGGGCAGAUAGUCGGGGUUCACCAUGCCAAGAGAACACACGAUUGCAGUUUACAGAACAGCACGCAAGAGCUUUCCGGAAACUACACUGGCCCACUGGAUGGCAUUUCUGACACUUUACAAAAUACAGAGAAGAGCCUAUUUGACUGGCGCACUUGUGUUAGGAAUGCUGUACUUUCUGUGCUGCCUCAUACUUUUUCUUGGAGUGAAGGAACAGUUGGCGCCUCUGAGUAACCUGGACCGCAUAAAUGUCCCCUAUCUAACCGGAAUGAAGAUGGUUGUGGGACACACUCCAUAUGUGCGGCUUGUGUUUGGCUUCCUCUUUUCUUCGCUAGCCUUUCAGGUCAGAUGGGAAUUUUGCCCUCUUCUGUACUCAUGCAGCAAAUAUGGGAGGAUAUUUCCAGCAUCUUGUUCUUAUAUUACUGACAUCAGCGACAAUAUCCAUCCCAAUGUGGCAGACAAUAUUAGUCAAAAUAGGAAAGAAGACCACCAUAUUCAUCGGCCUUUCAGUUUAUAUCCCAGCUCUAACUGUAAUAUCUCUAGUGAACAGUAAUUUACCCGUCUUCAUUAUUAUGUCGGUGAUAUCUGGCACAAGUCUGGCAGCCCUCUAUCUACUCCCUUGGUCGAUGCUGCCAGAUGUAGUGGAUGACUUUAAAGUCAAGAACCCGUUGUGCCAGGAUCUAGAGCCACUGUUCUACUCCUGCUAUGUGUUCUUUAACAAAUUCGGAGGAGGAUUGUCUGUUGGAGUGUCCACCUUGGUACUACACUUUGUAGGAUACAAGCCUGGAGCUUGUAAACACAAUGAAAAGGUCAUUUACGCACUCCGGAUUCUCUUUGCCCCUGUGCCCAUCUGCCU